Molecule: transfer RNA, 69 nt
Filed under: Nipponacmea nigrans
Lineage: Eukaryota; Metazoa; Mollusca; Gastropoda; Lottiidae
Description: tRNA-Thr
Source: RNAcentral
GGGAUAAGAGUCUGGGCAGACAUCAGCCUUGUAAGUUGAAAAGGAAGGACUAGCAACCUUCUUAUCCCU